Molecule: ribosomal RNA, 755 nt
Filed under: Corynebacterium sp. 3DL264M
Lineage: Bacteria; Bacillati; Actinomycetota; Actinomycetes; Mycobacteriales; Corynebacteriaceae
Description: bacterial SSU rRNA
Rfam family: Bacterial small subunit ribosomal RNA
Source: RNAcentral
AGGCCCCUGCUUGCAGGGGUACUCGAGUGGCGAACGGGUGAGUAACACGUGGGUGAUCUGCCCUGCACUUCGGGAUAAGCCUGGGAAACUGGGUCUAAUACCGGAUAGGACCACGUUUUGGAUGGCGUGGUGGAAAGUUUUUUCGGUGUGGGAUGAGCUCGCGGCCUAUCAGCUUGUUGGUGGGGUAAUGGCCUACCAAGGCGUCGACGGGUAGCCGGCCUGAGAGGGUGUACGGCCACAUUGGGACUGAGAUACGGCCCAGACUCCUACGGGAGGCAGCAGUGGGGAAUAUUGCACAAUGGGCGCAAGCCUGAUGCAGCGACGCCGCGUGGGGGAUGACGGCCUUCGGGUUGUAAACUCCUUUCGCUAGGGACGAAGCGCAAGUGACGGUACCUGGAGAAGAAACACCGGCUAACUACGUGCCACCAGCCGCGGUAAUACGUAUGGUGCGAGCGUUGUCCGGAAUUACUGGGCGUAAAGAGCUCGUAGGUGGUUUGUCGCGUCGCUUGUGUAAGCCCGCAGCUUAACUGCGGGACUGCAGGCGAUACGGGCAUAACUUGAGUGCUGUAGGGGAGACUGGAAUUCCUGGUGUAGCGGUGGAAUGCGCAGAUAUCACGAGGAACACCGAUGGCGAAGGCAGGUCUCUGGGCAGUAACUGACGCUGAGGAGCGAAAGCAUGUGUAGCGAACAGGAUUAGAUACCCUGGUAGUCCAUGCCGUAAACGGUGGGCGCUAGGUGUGAGUCCUCUUCCACGG